UAGAACUACAAGAGAUUUCACCAGCUUGAUUAGCUGGUACCCUUAUCAAUUUAACUCUCAAAACUCACAUUUUUUCUAAUGUUUGCAUGGAAACAAAUAGAUCCUAAUAGAAAACUAUUUUAUUGAGCAAAAAGAUGUCAAACCCUUUAGGAACAUCUCCUAAAUAUGUUUUAUUAUUAAUAUAAGCAGCUUCCAAAAUCUAAGGGAAAUUUCAUCGAACAAAGUUGUCCAAAAAUCCACCUUACUUUAAAAUUUAAACUCACAAUAAUUACCUGCA
Molecule: long non-coding RNA, 277 nt
Filed under: Elaeis guineensis (African oil palm)
Lineage: Eukaryota; Viridiplantae; Streptophyta; Magnoliopsida; Arecales; Arecaceae
Description: long non-coding RNA (EGUI_LNC019975)
Source: RNAcentral